RNAcentral lists this ribosomal RNA (225 nucleotides) under Pseudomonas helmanticensis. RNAcentral's name for it is "partial 16S ribosomal RNA". It matches the Rfam family "Bacterial small subunit ribosomal RNA", at positions 555 to 780 of the family's 1533-position model. Lineage: Bacteria; Pseudomonadati; Pseudomonadota; Gammaproteobacteria; Pseudomonadales; Pseudomonadaceae. The record is from RNAcentral.
UGGGCGUAAGCGCGCGUAGGUGGUUCGUUAAGUUGGAUGUGAAAUCCCCGGGCUCAACCUGGGAACUGCAUUCAAAACUGUCGAGCUAGAGUAUGGUAGAGGGUGGUGGAAUUUCCUGUGUAGCGGUGAAAUGCGUAGAUAUAGGAAGGAACACCAGUGGCGAAGGCGACCACCUGGACUGAUACUGACACUGAGGUGCGAAAGCGUGGGGAGCAAACAGGAUUA